GAUGUUUAUAUUUUUCUCAAAGAUAUUGGUUUUUCAUGAGAAAAAUACAACACUGUCAAAACAUAUUACAUAAAUAAUUAUGUUGAAAAAUACAUGCCGGCGCGAGAAAACUGGAGAAAACGUGAUUAUUGUUUAGAACGUUAUCCAACUCAUCAAAAUAAAAUAUCCUGUUACAAUCUAGUUCUCUUGAAUAUCGUUCAACCAGGGAGAAACCUGAGAGGGGCCACGCUGCCGUUUUUCGUAAGACGCUUUUUCUAGGCCGUACACUAGCGGCCAUCCAUUUUACAGUCUGCCUGGAACUACAUGGCCACAUCCAUUUUCCGGAAUGGUAAAAGAGCCCUGGUUGGUUCAUGUCCGUGUUACAUCCACAAUUUAUUGAACAGAAAUACGUCUCGCAUAUAGAUAUAAUUUAUAUAGAUACAAUUUACAACAUAUAGAUAUAGAUAAUUUAUAAUACCACCUGUGGAAAGUAAGCGGGCAAUAUAAGAAUAUUACAUAUCAAGAGACACGGUAGUGUCUCGCACCAAGUUCACACGCAACGCGAUAUAGUUUAUAUCACGGGUUGCAGUGAUAUACCGGAAUUCCCUCCAUUAACAGAAACGAGGAAGAAACAAUCAGCACAGCAAAUUUUUUUCAAGAAAUGAGACGUCUGUUAGCUUUGAAGAGAGUAUAGGAACGCAAGCCGUCAUUACAUUGCCAUGUGCUUCGAGUAAGUGCUAAAUGGCAUGAGCAUUAUACAUAAAGCAACACAGAUAUGGCAAUUUGAAUUAUAAAUUCAAAACUGAUGAUAAGCAAGAGUCUUAUGAGACAUUGUCAGAAUCUUCAUCUGCUUCAGAACCAAUUGAGCAACGUAUGAAAAAUUUACAAAUAACUUCAAAGAACCUUUAAAUAGUAUUAUAUAAAUAAACCUAUUAUACCUCACAUGACGAUACUGAAAUGUACAUGAAGAAACAGCAGAUAAUGCAUUAAAUAUAUGACUUAUCAUGUCACGUGAUAGGUCAUAGUAUGUAAAAAAACUUUUAUAAAUAAUAUGUGUUAUAUAUCACCCUUUUUUCAUAUGAAUAUAAGCAUUGUGUCUCUAGCUCCUUUUGAGCUAUAUUUAAUACAGUAUAAGAAACUUCAAAUAUAAUAAGAUCAUAUAACAAAAAAACAUUUAUAUACUAAGACUGAAAAAAUCUCAGUAUACAAAGUACAAAAUACAUAUUCUUUAUAUAAUAACCUAUUGCUUGUGUAUACUACAGCUUGAUUAAAAAUAAGAAA
This is a long non-coding RNA of Linepithema humile (Argentine ant), 1260 nucleotides long. RefSeq lists it as uncharacterized. The record is from RefSeq and is a predicted model, not a curated record. NCBI's taxonomy places the organism in Eukaryota, Metazoa, Arthropoda, Insecta, Hymenoptera, Formicidae.